Molecule: non-coding RNA, 201 nt
Organism: Merops nubicus (carmine bee-eater)
Lineage: Eukaryota; Metazoa; Chordata; Aves; Coraciiformes; Meropidae
Source: Rfam
CUAGGAGAACCGAAAACAGUUCUAGACUGACCUGGGGUUUUAUAGCACUUUGGCAGUCAACUUCAGCUUGUGUCAGCGCAGACAUGACAGAGCUGCCCAACGCUUAAUCGCGGGACGCCACCUCCUCGGACUUACUGCAGCCCCCACUCUUGCCUUUCAAUAAAUUUCAAACGCUGGGGCUAGAAAUGGGGAGCAGAGCUG